UCGGUGGGGACCGAGCGUUUACUACAGAGAAGGAAAAGAAGAAGCCUGACCAGGAAGAACGGAUGUAGCUUUCUGUCAUGCCUGGUGUGUCGCCACGAACCAUGUAGUUGCUCAACUAAUAUUAUUUAAGUUUAAUGAACCUGAACAAAGGCAAAAGAUAGAACUCAAAUUUCUAUUAAGGAUUUACGUUUGCAAGGGAAGGAUUAUGAGGCAGAAGAAUUCUGUCCAAAUACACUUGACUUUGGACUGAUCUUCCUGUCCACAGUUACUGAAGAUGCACUGGCGGGAAUGUUCCCUGAAACAGGAGACAAAGGAUCAUAGAAACCAAGAGCCGGAAGGAAGACAGAUGAGCAGCCGUGAGCCCAGGGAGAUGAGUAACACCCAAGGACAAGACAAAUGGCCCCCAGUCUAGAACUUUUUGACUUGAAACCAUUUUGGCCUCUAGAUGCUGUUAUGAGUCCAGGCCUUCCGGUGGCUUAAACAUGGCAGUCCAAGCCCUCUUACCAGAGGUUAAUCAGUCCUCUUAUGCAAGAGAAAAAGUCAAAUAGAAACAGUCUCCAUCUCACAAUGAAAACACAAAUUAAGGGUCAGAAGAAAUCUCAAGGAGUCACCCAAGUGCUACCAGAAGAGAGAAGUCAUUCUUCAGUUCAAUGACCUGCCUGUGGCUCUGGCUUACUGCACUUACAACAAACAAGAUGCCACGUUCCACUUCCCCCAGCCUCAGGUCAUCUCAGCCUGGAGAAAUAGGAAUCAUAUUUAAAACCUUAAAACUUUAAAUAACAGGAAGUUUGAGGGCCAUGCGACCACAUCCUAGACCUCUUUGUACCUCUUGUGCCCCUGUGGGGACACCGCCUUGCUCCUCAGACACUCCGCCUGGGUUUGCUGAGAUGGCUGUUUCCGUGGCAAUGCCCAAGGAGAAAGAAGGGCCCUGAGGCCCUGAGUCACAUCGCUGUGGCAAUCAUGGAAUCCAGGACCUGCCUGUUGGUCUCUUUCAAGAUGGUGGAAGUCAUGAUGGUGAAUCUCAGCACUGACUUGAGGAGAUGAUACUUACUGCCACCUUAACAUCAGCUGUUUUCUGACUACCACAUUGACUUAGUCCAACUCAAUGCAAUGGCCUGAGUUGCAUGAACUUAUCACAGUACUAGACAU
Long non-coding RNA from Eptesicus fuscus (big brown bat), 1149 nucleotides. RefSeq lists it as uncharacterized. The record is from RefSeq and is a predicted model, not a curated record. NCBI's taxonomy places the organism in Eukaryota, Metazoa, Chordata, Mammalia, Chiroptera, Vespertilionidae. The transcript is spliced from 4 exons.